CAAUAGCGUAUAUUAAAGUUGUUGCAGUUAAAAAGCUCGUAGUUGGAUUUCGGGACGGGCCAGUUGGUCCGCCGCAAGGUGUGUUACUGACUGGUCUGUUCUUCUUCGCAAAGACUGCGUGUGCUCUUCGUUGAGUGUGCGUAGGAUUUACGACGUUUACUUUGAAAAAAUUAGAGUGUUCAAAGCAGGCUAUCGCUUGAAUACAUGAGCAUGGAAUAAUGGAAUAGGACUUUGGUCCUAUUUUGUUGGUUUCUAGGACCGAAGUAAUGAUUAAGAGGGACAAUUGGGGGCAUCCGUAUGUCGUUGUCAGAGGUGAAAUUCUUGGAUUUACGAAAGACGAACAACUGCGAAAGCACUUGCCAAGAGUGUUUUCAUUAA
This 378-nucleotide ribosomal RNA is filed under the name uncultured eukaryote. Its description in RNAcentral is "partial 18S ribosomal RNA". It matches the Rfam family "Eukaryotic small subunit ribosomal RNA", at positions 592 to 976 of the family's 1831-position model. The record is from RNAcentral.